AUUGAACGCUGGCGGAAUGCUUUACACAUGCAAGUCGAACGAUGAACCUUAGCUUGCUAAGGGGAUUAGUGGCGAACGGGUGAGUAAUAUAUCGGAACGUGCCUUGUAAUGGGGGAUAACUAGUCGAAAGAUUAGCUAAUACCGCAUACGCCCUGAGGGGGAAAGUAGGGGAUCUUCGGACCUUACGUUAUAAGAGCGGCCGAUAUCUGAUUAGCUAGUUGGUGGGGUAAUGGCCUACCAAGGCGACGAUCAGUAGCUGGUCUGAGAGGACGACCAGCCACACUGGAACGGAGACACGGUCCAGACUCCUACGGGAGGCAGCAGUGGGGAAUUUUGGACAAUGGGCGCAAGCCUGAUCCAGCCAUUCCGCGUGAGUGAAGAAGGCCUUCGGGUUGUAAAGCUCUUUCGCAAGGGAAGAAAACUUACCAUCGGAUAAAUGGUGAGGCUGACGGUACCUUGAUAAGAAGCACCGGCUAACUACGUG
RNAcentral lists this ribosomal RNA (484 nucleotides) under uncultured bacterium. RNAcentral's name for it is "partial 16S ribosomal RNA". It matches the Rfam family "Bacterial small subunit ribosomal RNA", at positions 30 to 507 of the family's 1533-position model. The record is from RNAcentral.